AUGAUAGAGAGGUGGACCAGGAGGGGAGAUUUGAGUGAGUUGGGGGUGUCAAAAUUCUACGUGGUGGCGAUGCAGACUCCCGCAAAGCCUAAACGGACAUCCAAACGCGUCAGCGAACCGACAAGGUAUCGUGUUGGGUGGCAAAAUGAUCGUUUUGGACGCUUGCAGAAAGCCAAAAUGCUUAACCUUUUUGCCUCAAAAUUUACACGUAUUAUUUGCUGUACCCUCGUCCUCGACCUGCCUUACUUCCACCGCGCCGCCUCCAUCGUGCUGGACAUUUGUUCCAUCCUCAGCGUGCCUGCCGGCGUCGAGUUCCCCGCGCUCGAGACGCUGUCUUUGUCGUGCUUCCUUCCCGACCUUGACUCCUUCAUCCCCUGCUGCCCGCGCUUGCGCACGCUCCGGCUUGGCAGCCUCCUUUUGGGCGUCCUGUGCCUCAACUCUGUGUCGCUGCAGGAGCUUGUGGUGGAUCGCGAGGCAGGAUUGACAGACCAUAUCAGCAUCGUUGCCCCCGUGCUCAGGCAAUUGACCAUGUCCUUCAUAUCCUCGAACCCCAGCAUCUCCGUCUCGGCACCAAUGCUGGAGAAGGUCUCAUGGCGCUGCUGCUAUAACGACGGCUCUAUUGUGUUUGGUUUUUGGCUACUGGAGGAGAGAUCGUUGAUUUUUCAUGGUGAAGCGGAUACCAUUACUCAGGAUAUAGAAAAGCAUAUGAUUGCUGAGUUUUCUAUUUUGGAACUACAUCUCCGAACAAGUGGACAUAUGUUUGGAGCACUCGCGUUUUAUCUCCUAGGGAGUAAUCGAAUUUGUACUACUAUGCAGAAGCUUAAGGUCAUCUUACAGAGAUCAGCGGUGAAAGAAAGAUGCUCACCAGAUUGUCCAUGUGAGUCCUCGGGCUGGAGAGUCCAAACUAUCUCCUUGACUGCUCUCGAAGAAGUGGAGAUCAACGGCUUUGAAGGAGACAAUCAUGAGCUUGAUUUCUUGAAACUGGUACUCAGAUGUGCGCCAAUGCUUAAAAGAAUGAUUGUGAAGCUGUCAGAUAAGGCCUCAGCAAGUAGCUAUAGACGCACAAAACUAUACAACAUCUUCAGGGCCAAUUAA
This 1095-nucleotide ribosomal RNA is filed under the name Triticum aestivum (bread wheat). RNAcentral describes it as "partial small subunit ribosomal RNA". The record is from RNAcentral. Lineage: Eukaryota; Viridiplantae; Streptophyta; Magnoliopsida; Poales; Poaceae.